CCUACGGGUGGCAGCAGUGAGGAAUAUUGGUCAAUGGGCGCGAGCCUGAACCAGCCAAGUAGCGUGAAGGAUGACUGCCCUACGGGUUGUAAACUUCUUUUAUAAAGGAAUAAAGUGAGGCACGUGUGCCCAGGCGGAGAGUACCCGGAGAAAAAGCAUCGGCUAACUCCGUGCCAGCAGCCGCGGUAAUACGGAGGAUGCGAGCGUUAUCCGGAUUUAUUGGGUUUAAAGGGUGCGCAGGCGGGCUGUUAAGCCGGCGGUAAAAAUUCAGGGCUCAACCCUGUCGAGCCGUCGGAACUGGCAGUCUUGAGUGGGCGAGAAGUAUGCGGAAUGCGUGGUGUAGCGGUGAAAUGCAUAGAUAUCACGCAGAACGCCGAUUGCGAAGGCAGCAUACCGGCGCCCAACUGACGCUGAGGCACGAAAGCGUGGGGAUCGAACAGGAUUAGAUACCCGAGUAGUC
Molecule: ribosomal RNA, 460 nt
Filed under: uncultured bacterium
Lineage: Bacteria
Description: partial 16S ribosomal RNA
Rfam family: Bacterial small subunit ribosomal RNA
Source: RNAcentral